AAAGAAAUAUAGUUAAUGAAUAGUAGAGAUUUUUAUUUAUUUUUGUGUUGAGCUAAGAACAGUGUUGGUUUGUUUAUGGUUAUUUUAAGGUAAGUGGUGUGAGUGUGUGGAAACAGAAGGAAGGAAAAGAAAGAAGAAGAAAAGGAGAUGGAUGGGGUGGGUUUUGAAAAGAAAGAUAGAGUGCAGAGAAAGAAAAGGGAAGAAGAAGAAGAAGAAGA
This 218-nucleotide long non-coding RNA is filed under the name Phaseolus vulgaris (common bean). Its description in RNAcentral is "long non-coding RNA (PVUL_LNC004201)". Lineage: Eukaryota; Viridiplantae; Streptophyta; Magnoliopsida; Fabales; Fabaceae. The record is from RNAcentral.